GUGGGAACCCCAGUGCUCCAUUCUCUUCUAUCUGUGCUUUCUCUUUAUUAGUAGGCAAUGUGUUGAAGCAUCAUUUUGAAGGCGUUUAAAAGGAAAGGAAGAGAACAAUGAGACAGAGAGGAAGACAGGAAGAAAAUGGGAGAAUUAGAAGCACGCUCUAAAUACCAGAUACUACUAGAGACUCUUGUGCUGCGUGACCCCUGACCGUAACCAAGUGUCCUUCUCUCUGAGACGUUCCCUCGGAGCUUGUUCUGACAGCCCUCACCUCCAGUGACGUCCACGAACUUUUCCACACGAGGGGUUCUCUGCUUCCCUCCAUCUGAGCUGCGCAAUUCCACCAGGCCUUUUGCUCCUCUUCAGUCAGGUGCUUUGGAGGUUGCGUACUCCAGAGGUCAGAACCAAGAAGAAGCCACCUAGCCUCAGAGGCUCAGAGGACAUGAAG
This 442-nucleotide long non-coding RNA is filed under the name Mus spicilegus (steppe mouse). Its description in RNAcentral is "lncRNA (ENSMSIG00000009605.1)". The record is from RNAcentral. Lineage: Eukaryota; Metazoa; Chordata; Mammalia; Rodentia; Muridae.